Non-coding RNA from Oryza sativa Japonica Group (Japanese rice), 135 nucleotides. The record is from Rfam. Lineage: Eukaryota; Viridiplantae; Streptophyta; Magnoliopsida; Poales; Poaceae.
GUAUUACUCCCUCCGUCCAAAAAAACUCAACCUAGUAAUAGGAUGGGACACAUCCUAGUACGUCCAGAUUCGUUGUACUAGGAUGUGUCCCAUCCUAGUAUGAGGUUGGGUUUUUUUGGACGGAGGGAGUAACUA